This is a regulatory RNA element of 100 nucleotides. It matches the Rfam family "Pyrrolysine insertion sequence mttB". The record is from Rfam.
AUUGCGGAUGCGAAACUGCCGGACAUGCAGGCCGGAUGGGAGCAGAUGUGCUCCAACGUGAUGGCCGGUUUGUCAGGGUUGAACAUGGUCUAUGAAGCGG